Capsicum annuum is the source of this 1694-nucleotide RNA transcript. It is a transcript of the gene named UDP-N-acetylglucosamine--N-acetylmuramyl-(pentapeptide) pyrophosphoryl-undecaprenol N-acetylglucosamine transferase, with no coding region annotated. Lineage: Eukaryota; Viridiplantae; Streptophyta; Magnoliopsida; Solanales; Solanaceae. The record is from RefSeq and is a predicted model, not a curated record. The transcript is spliced from 6 exons.
AGAAAGAGAACUGAGACCAUUAGCACAGUAAGUUGGGAGCUGUGAAAGCAUUAAUUAUUGGACAAAAAAAGCAUGAACUUAAAUUUGUAUUGAUCUACCAACCUAGCAAUUUAAAACAUUGCAUUAUAGAGGCAGAAUCUAGUAAAGAUCCAAUGUUUGAGCAGACAGAUGUAUCCCCAGAAUCUUGAUUCUGCUGUCUUCAUAUUUCUUUGUAAAUCAUGUUAAAGGCCAUUAAUCCACACACUUCUCGGAGCCCCCGGUUCUUUGAAACCCGAUUCUCCGUUCCCAAAUCCGUAGUAAGGAACCUCAAGAUCAGUAACUGUGUCGCUCUCAAGAACCCCGAGAACCAAAGCACCAAUGCAUCUGCUGCUGUUCGAAUCAUAUUGGCUGCAGGUGGCACUGGUGGCCAUAUUUAUCCAGCUAUUGCCAUUGCUGAUGACCUCAAAGUCCUUGAUCCAAAUGCCCAAAUUCUCUUUAUUGGACUUGAAAAUGGAAUGGAAAGCACUGCAGUGCCAACAGCAGGAUACUCCUUUGAACCGAUUCCUGCGGCGCCAUCAGGCCGACCCUUUGUCUCUCUCUGCAACUUACUCGUCCUCCCUUUUGUUCUUGCAAAAUCCCUAAUUAAAAGUUCUCAAAUACUUAAAGAAUUCAAACCUGAUAUAGUGAUUGGAACUGGUGGGUUUGUUUCAUUUCCAAUAUGCUUAGCUGCAAGUCUCAGAGGCAUUAAGCUUGUAAUUCAGGAACAGAAUUCGGUACCCGGGAUAGCUAACCAGGUGCUUUCUUUAUUUUCCUAUAAAGUGUUUGUUGCGUUUAACUCUUCCGUUGAUCGUUUUUGGCAAAAGAGCAAGUGUGUGGUGUGCGGGAAUCCAGUGAGACUGUCGUUGAGGCAGUAUGCGUCUAAGGCCGUGGGAAGAAGGCAUUUCUUUUCAAAUGCUGUUAUAGGGAAGGGGGAUGGUAAGGUGGUGUUGAUUCUUGGGGGCUCAUUGGGCGCGAAUGCAAUUAAUGUUGCCAUCUUGCAUUUGUAUUCUGAGAUGUUAAAUGAACGAAACGACUUGUUUUUGAUAUGGCAAACUGGGGUCUUAGCAUAUGAUGAGAUGGAGAGCCUCGUGAAAUUCCAUCCCCGGUUAUACAUAACCCCGUUCUUGCACUCGAUGGAUUUGGCGUAUGCAACUGCUGACCUUAUUGUAUCUAGAGCUGGAGCAAUGAUCUGCUCUGAGAUUUUAGCUGCUGGAAAACCUUGUAUUCUGAUACCCUCAUUGGAUGUGGCCAAAGGACACCAAUUUCACAAUGCUUGUCUAAUGGCUGAUUUUGCUGAUUCAAGGGUUAUAACUGAAGAUGAACUUGACUCUCUUACUCUUAAAAAUACUAUUGAAGAAAUUUUAGUCUUCAUCUAAAUAUCUACGAUUUUGAUUCUGAAUGCGAAGCCGAGGGUGAAACAGCCUCUCUCCCUUCACGUGGUAGUGAUAAUGAGGGAUUGAUGAGGGAGAUGUCUGAGAGAGCUCUCAAGAUUGCGAAGCCAAAUGCAUCGGUUGAAAUUGCUAAACACGUUCUUUCUCUUGUCAACUCGUCGAUUAAACUCUGAAUCAAGCUUGCAUUUACUCAUUUGAAAGAUGAAAAUCUUAUUUGUGAACUUCAUUUGGGACAUUUAAUUUCUCUCUUUUUAAUUAAUUACAACCACACCCUUCAAAGAAAAA